This 58-nucleotide transfer RNA is filed under the name Salmo salar (Atlantic salmon). It matches the Rfam family "tRNA", at positions 8 to 63 of the family's 71-position model. From Rfam's summary of the family: Transfer RNA (tRNA) molecules are approximately 80 nucleotides in length. Their secondary structure includes four short double-helical elements and three loops (D, anti-codon, and T loops). Further hydrogen bonds mediate the characteristic L-shaped molecular structure. tRNAs have two regions of fundamental functional importance: the anti-codon, which is responsible for specific mRNA codon recognition, and the 3' end, to which the tRNAs corresponding amino acid is attached (by aminoacyl-tRNA synthetases). tRNAs cope with the degeneracy of the genetic code in two manners: having more than one tRNA (with a specific anti-codon) for a particular amino acid; and 'wobble' base-pairing, i.e. permitting non-standard base-pairing at the 3rd anti-codon position. The record is from Rfam by way of RNAcentral. Lineage: Eukaryota; Metazoa; Chordata; Actinopteri; Salmoniformes; Salmonidae.
UGGCUCAGUUGGUAGAGCAUGAUGUUUCCAACGCCAGAGUUGUGGGUUCAAUUCCCAC